UACGGGAGGCAGCAGUGGGGAAUAUUGCACAAUGGGCGAAAGCCUGAUGCAGCUAUGCCGCGUGUAUGAAGAAGGCCUUAGGGUUGUAAAGUACUUUCAUCGGGGAGGAAAAAACAAAACUAAUAAUUUUAUUUCUUGACGUUACCCGAAAAAGAAGCACCAGCUAACUCCGUGCCAGCAGCCGCGGUAAUACGGAGGGUGCUAGCGUUAAUCAGAAUUACUGGGCGUAAAAGAGCACGUAGGUGGUUUUUUUAAGUCAGAUGUGAAAAUCCCUGGGCUUAAACCUAGGAACUGCAUUUUGAAAACUGAAAAUACUAGAGUAUCGUAGAGGGAGGUAGAAAUUCUAGGUGUAGCGGUGAAAAUGCGUAGAUAUCUGGAGGAAUACCUGUGGCGAAAAGCGGCCUCCUAAAACGAAUAACUGACACUGAAGGGUGCGAAAAGCGUGGGGAGCAAAACAAGGGAUUAAGAUACC
Molecule: ribosomal RNA, 472 nt
Filed under: uncultured bacterium
Lineage: Bacteria
Description: bacterial SSU rRNA
Rfam family: Bacterial small subunit ribosomal RNA
Source: RNAcentral